AUGUCUUUGGCGUCGGUUGGGUUCGUUUUAAUUUUCUGCGCAAAAACGCCUAUAAAAAUGCCCCGUUUUACGAAUUUUUACCGCACCCAGAGAACGUUUAAGACUCGAUAACGAACCUACGCAUAAAAUAUCAGAUGAACUUUAUCAACCAAUAUUGAAAAUGGGGCUUUGACUAGUCAAAGGAGGAAAGUCCUCCUUUGUUGUCUGAUUCGCAAGCCACCAAUUCAAACAACCAUACAGGCACCUUGAUCAUUCAAUUUCUAGCCACAUAUUCUACCUAUACUUUAUUAUAAAAACCUCCACCCAACCAUUUUAAUCAGAUUUUUGCACAUACAAGCUCAAGAACAAAGAUUUUGGUACUAUACCCAGAAAGUCAGCGCAAAUGGAUCUCGGAAUCUAGGCCUAACGAGUAAUACGCGGAAAGGUGUGGAUUAGCAUACUUUGAUAGCCUAGUACUUGUGCAACCUGUAACCAGGACACUACGUGACGACCCCCUUUGUGUUAGCUGCUUGUGAAGUUUAUGUGCGAUACUAUGUGGAUCUGCUACUUUGCUAAAUAAAACGGUUCAUGGAAACUCGCGUAGUAUCUAGCUAAAAUAUGUAACAGUAAUGUGUAAUAGCGAUACGUAAAACAAUGAUGUAUCAUAUUGUUUAAUUAAUGUUUAAUAGAGUAUCUUUAUAACAAUGACUCAAACCAGAAGUGUUUGUUGCAUCCCUUUUUAUCGUUUCCGCUGCUAGUCGGGGUGUGAC
Molecule: long non-coding RNA, 749 nt
Filed under: Helianthus annuus (common sunflower)
Lineage: Eukaryota; Viridiplantae; Streptophyta; Magnoliopsida; Asterales; Asteraceae
Source: RNAcentral